Molecule: long non-coding RNA, 239 nt
Filed under: Gossypium barbadense (sea-island cotton)
Lineage: Eukaryota; Viridiplantae; Streptophyta; Magnoliopsida; Malvales; Malvaceae
Description: long non-coding RNA (GBAR_LNC012492)
Source: RNAcentral
GUCUAGUUACUUAUAUCGACCCAUCUGAAGGUCUACAGUCACCGCGAGCGAUUUGUGUGACCUUAACGGUCCUAACAGUGUAAAUGGGCUCAAGGCCCAUUAUGCUACCCAAAUAGGCCCACAUGCCUAUGUGGCCGAUCAAGCCGAAAAGUUCACCACGGCCAUGCGAACUACACAGCCUACUUUAGUAAUUAACAUAUGUUGUGGAAUUUAUUCGUGUGGGGCCCACACCACUAAUU